AUGUGCGUCAUUUCUUUUGGUCACCAAGUAGGUGUUUCUCCGACCAGCAACAACAAAACUCCACACUUUCUCAAUUGCGCUGUGAUUGGUUCAUGUCCACCAAGGCCGUUGCAUUGGUCGUGGUACUCGGCUUCCUUUGGGUUUGCUUGCUGUCGAGGAAGAAGAAAGGCUAAAGCUAACUACGUAUCUGCACCACGAUUGCUCGCUGGGGAUAUAGAUGUAUUCCUAACAUCAGGUUAUUACCACACCAUAGCAGCUGCUCGCUGGGAAUAUAGAUAUAUAUUUCAUUUUGCAGGUUUGAAACAAGCUGGUUCCUUUAUAUGA
This 324-nucleotide ribosomal RNA is filed under the name Triticum aestivum (bread wheat). RNAcentral describes it as "partial small subunit ribosomal RNA". The record is from RNAcentral. Lineage: Eukaryota; Viridiplantae; Streptophyta; Magnoliopsida; Poales; Poaceae.